UGUGGGAGGGGGCUUGCCCCCGAUGGUGGUGGAUCAGUCUCUGAUUUAUCAGCUGAUAGAUCGCUAUCGGGGGCAAGCCCCCUCCCACA
This 89-nucleotide unclassified non-coding RNA is filed under the name Pseudomonas orientalis. The record is from RNAcentral. Lineage: Bacteria; Pseudomonadati; Pseudomonadota; Gammaproteobacteria; Pseudomonadales; Pseudomonadaceae.